This 262-nucleotide long non-coding RNA is filed under the name Phaseolus vulgaris (common bean). Its description in RNAcentral is "long non-coding RNA (PVUL_LNC002832)". The record is from RNAcentral. Lineage: Eukaryota; Viridiplantae; Streptophyta; Magnoliopsida; Fabales; Fabaceae.
AUACGAAACCGUAUAUAUUUUAGUGGAUAUUCUUUCCUCGUACAAUUACAACUAAAUAUUUUUCUAAAAAACCAUAAAGUAAACUAAGAUGUGAUGUUUUAUAAUUAAUUAUACUUACAAACAAGCCAUUAACCUUGAAUCCUUCUCAAUAAUUCUACUCUCUCCCAUAUAAUGGAGAAAAUAAAAUAAUGUUAUAUAUUGUGAAUAAAAAGCAAGUCCUCCUCCAUUGGUAGAAUGAUAACACCUCAGCACUUCCUUUUUC